This 407-nucleotide ribosomal RNA is filed under the name uncultured bacterium. Its description in RNAcentral is "partial 16S ribosomal RNA". It matches the Rfam family "Bacterial small subunit ribosomal RNA", at positions 29 to 526 of the family's 1533-position model. The record is from RNAcentral.
AUUGAACGCUGGCGGCAGGCCUAACACAUGCAAGUCGAGCGGAGCGGCGGACGGGUGAGUAAUGGCUGGGAAUCUGCCUGGAAGUGGGGGAUAACGUCCUGAGACGGGCGCUAAUACCGCAUACUAUCAGAUGAGCCGAGGUCGGAUUAGCUAGUUGGUGGGGAAAAGGCCUACCAGGGCCACGAUCCCUAACUGGUCUGAGAGGAUGAUCAGUCACACUGGAACUGAGAAACAGUACAGACUCCAACGUGAGGAAGCAGUGGCGAAUAUUGCACAAUGGGUGCAAGCCGGAUGCAGCCAUGCCGCGUGAGUGAAGAAGGCCGUCGGGUUGUAAAGCACUUUCAUCGGGGAGGCAUUACCCGCAGAAGAAGCACCGGCGAACUCCGUGCCAGCAGCCGCGGUAAUAC